UCUCUCUCCCUAUGCUCUCUGUCGCCGUCUCCAUUUUUUAACAGAGUUUUUGUUAAUUUCAUAUGAGCUUUUUUACACAACAACUCUAGAUCAGUAGAAUUAAACAUCAAUUUUCAGUGGAUUCAGCUUUAUCCAGUGUCUUUUUUUUUCUUCUCAAUCUCUUUGUUUCCUUCCAAACCUUAAUCUCUCUAUUAUUCUGUUCAAUACAUGUCGAUGAUGGCGGGUAUACAAGCAGUGCGAUGUUCUCGAGGUCACUGGUCUGAUUACUUUGUAUCAUCUUCUUAUUCAAUGAUAGUUGGGACGAAUGGAUAAGUCUGGACUGUCUGUUGAAACAUACAGAUGAAGAAACAUACAGAUGAAAAUAUUGAGAAACAGAAGGAACAGGUUAUGAAGCAUCAAGACUGCUACGGCUUGGAAAAGUCACAAAGAUGAAACUUAGAAGCCCUAAUGUUGCUAGAGGAAGAAAGCGGAAGCAAGAUUCGGUUGACACGGAGAAGAAUGUGGUUCCUUCUGACAACCUUUUAAGUUUCCAUAUCCCACCGGCAUUAAGGAAACAACUAAUUGACGACUAUGAAUUUGUUACUCAGAUGCACAAGGUACUCAUAAUUAAUGUGCUUAUUUGUAAAUGAAGAACACCCUACAUUAUCUACCAGCCUGUACUAUGAGGAUAAGACCAAUGAUUCAUGUUCCUGUUUGUACUCCUUCUAAGUCCUCUGCUCCAUUGCCUCCUCUGUUUCCUCUAAGGCUACACAAAAACAGAGUAGAGAGACGAACUUGAUGAACAUCUUUUGUGUGGUUUAUAUUUAUCCUUCCUUAAUUUGGUUGGGUUUUGUGAUUAGCUGGGUCUUUGUGAUUGAGAUUUGAGGUGUGACAGUGUAAAUUUGAACAUUUUCAUACCCAGGAGAACAAUAAAGAAUUUAUCAUUAUUGAAUCCA
This is a long non-coding RNA of Camelina sativa (false flax), 935 nucleotides long. RefSeq lists it as uncharacterized. NCBI's taxonomy places the organism in Eukaryota, Viridiplantae, Streptophyta, Magnoliopsida, Brassicales, Brassicaceae. The record is from RefSeq and is a predicted model, not a curated record.